AACGAACGCUGGCGGCAUGCCUAACACAUGCAAGUCGAACGAGACCUUCGGGUCUAGUGGCGCACGGGUGCGUAACGCGUGGGAACCUGCCCUUAGGUUCGGAAUAACUCCCCGAAAGGGGUGCUAAUACCGGAUAAUGUCUUCGGACCAAAGAUUUAUCGCCUUUGGAUGGGCCCGCGUUGGAUUAGCUAGUUGGUAGGGUAAAAGCCUACCAAGGCGACGAUCCAUAGCUGGUCUGAGAGGAUGAUCAGCCACACUGGGACUGAGACACGGCCCAGACUCCUACGGGAGGCAGCAGUGGGGAAUAUUGGACCAGGGGCGAAAGCCUGAUCCAGCAAUGCCGCGUGAGUGAUGAAGGCCUUAGGGUUGUAAAGCUCUUUUACCCGGGAUGAUAAUGACAGUACCGGGAGAAUAAGCACCGGCUAACUCCGUG
Molecule: ribosomal RNA, 433 nt
Filed under: uncultured bacterium
Lineage: Bacteria
Description: partial 16S ribosomal RNA
Rfam family: Bacterial small subunit ribosomal RNA
Source: RNAcentral